Molecule: non-coding RNA, 26 nt
Filed under: Rattus norvegicus (Norway rat)
Lineage: Eukaryota; Metazoa; Chordata; Mammalia; Rodentia; Muridae
Source: RNAcentral
UGAAAUCAAAAGAAGACUCAAGGCCA